Molecule: ribosomal RNA, 485 nt
Filed under: uncultured bacterium
Lineage: Bacteria
Description: partial 16S ribosomal RNA
Rfam family: Bacterial small subunit ribosomal RNA
Source: RNAcentral
UUGAACGCUGGCGGCAUGCCUUACCCAUGCCAGUCGCACGGCAGCACGGGUGCUUGCACCUGGUGGCGAGUGGCGAACGGGUGAGUAAUACAUCGGAACAUGUCCUGUAGUGGGGGAUAGCCCGGCGAAAGCCGGAUUAAUACCGCAUACGAUCUACGGAUGAAAGCGGGGGACCUUCGGGCCUCGCGCUAUAGGGUUGGCCGAUGGCUGAUUAGCUAGUUGGUGGGGUAAAGGCCUACCAAGGCGACGAUCAGUAGCUGGUCUGAGAGGACGACCAGCCACACUGGGACUGAGACACGGCCCAGACUCCUACGGGAGGCAGCAGUGGGGAAUUUUGGGCAAUGGGCGAAAGCCUGAUCCAGCAAUGCCGCGUGUGUGAAGAAGGCCUUCGGGUUGUAAAGCACUUUUGUCCGGAAAGAAAUCCUUGGCCCUAAUACGGUCGGGGGAUGACGGUACCGGAAGAAUAAGCACCGGCUAACUACGUG